GACGUAGGGCGCGAGCGUUGUCCGGAAUUAUUGGGCGUAAAGAGCUCGUAGGCGGCUUGUCGCGUCGACUGUGAAAACCCGCGGCUCAACUGCGGGCCUGCAGCCGAUACGGGCAGGCUAGAGUUCGGUAGGGGAGACUGGAAUUCCUGGUGUAGCGGUGAAAUGCGCAGAUAUCAGGAGGAACACCGGUGGCGAAGGCGCACACCUGGCCCGAUACUGACGCUGAGGCGCGAAAGCUAGGGGAGCAAACGGG
RNAcentral lists this ribosomal RNA (253 nucleotides) under uncultured bacterium. RNAcentral's name for it is "partial 16S ribosomal RNA". It matches the Rfam family "Bacterial small subunit ribosomal RNA", at positions 524 to 776 of the family's 1533-position model. The record is from RNAcentral.